Molecule: ribosomal RNA, 253 nt
Filed under: uncultured bacterium
Lineage: Bacteria
Description: partial 16S ribosomal RNA
Rfam family: Bacterial small subunit ribosomal RNA
Source: RNAcentral
UACGUAGGGGGCAAGCGUUGUCCGGAUUUAUUGGGCGUAAAGAGCGUGUAGGCGGCCAGGCAGGUCCGCUGUGAAAACUCGAGGCUCAACCUCGAGAGGUCGGUGGAAACCGUCUGGCUAGAGUCCGGAAGAGGAGAGUGGAAUUCCCGGUGUAGCGGUGAAAUGCGUAGAUAUCGUAAGGAAGACCAGUGGCGAAGGCGGGUCUCUGGACAGUUCCUGACGCUGAGGCACGAAGGCCAGGGGAGCAAACGGG